This 1399-nucleotide ribosomal RNA is filed under the name Niphargus gammariformis. RNAcentral describes it as "partial large subunit ribosomal RNA". It matches the Rfam family "Eukaryotic large subunit ribosomal RNA", at positions 1330 to 2237 of the family's 3401-position model. Lineage: Eukaryota; Metazoa; Arthropoda; Malacostraca; Amphipoda; Niphargidae. The record is from RNAcentral.
AAAGCUCUCUCCCGAUGCACAACCGUCGGUGGCAGUAAAGGCUUCAGCACGACCCAGUCAGAACUAUAAGUCUCAAAGCCCCGACGAGUAGGGUGGCGUGCCGGUGCGCGUUGAAGGCCAAGACGUGAGUCAGGCUGGAGCCGCCGGUAGUGCAGAUCUUGGUGGUAGUAGCAAGUACUCUGGUGAACCAACCUGGAGCUGUGAGGUCUGGAUCAGGGUUCCAUGUCAACAGUGAUUGAACAUGGGUGAGUCGAUCCUAAGCCAACUGUGAAAGCAGUGACAUCCCGACAAAGGGGCAUAUUACUUGCACCCCCAAGCAUUGCAAUGUGAAGCUCUCAAGUAUAUACAUCUCUCUCUCUCGCGAGCGCAUACACGGGGCCUCGCAAAGCAUCUGGUUACGGAAAGGAAAUGAUAAAAUGCACACACAUACAAUGAUCAAUAAAAAUGUGAGUGUGUGUGUGUGCGUAUAAGCUUGUCUGUCUGGUUACGCUCAUAUGAAUAUAUAUGCGUUGAUAUGCUGUCUGUCAAAGGUUAAGAGAGAGAGAGAGAGAGAGAGUGGGUGAGCGCGAGUGUUUUCCCUGCGUUGGUUCUAUGUCUGGCGAAAGGGAAUGGGGACUUUGUUCCUUGACCGGUCCCGGCACCCUCGAUUGGCUUUGCCAAUUAAUGGUCCAUGCAAAUGGAACCAGGCCACAGCCGCCGGCAGUCGCCCGAGGAAGAGUUUUCUUUUCUGCUUAACGCGCGAGGUCAUCCCUGGAAACAGUUCGGCUUGCGAAAGGGUGCCCCGUUGCGGCAGAGCGCCACGACUGUCGUGCGCGUCUCGGUGUUCCUGCCGGUCCGUGAAGACGUGGUCGAGGGGAUUGCUCUUGUAUCAACGAAACGCCCGACGAGUUCGGGACGGACCGUACCCUAUAUCCGCAUCUGGUCUCCAAGGUUCGUAGCCUCUGCAGAGUCUGACACAUGUAGGUAAGGGAAGUCGGCAAACUCGAUCCGUAACUUCGGAAAAAGGAUUGGCUCUGAGGGCCGAGCUGGGCCGGGCCUUGCCUGCAAAGCAGUACCUAUAGUGACCGGAGUUUCAGGAGUGCGAGGGGCUCUAGUAGCUGCUUGUGCGUUCGCGUGUGGGCACGAACGAGUCCACCGCUCCGCUCCAACUACGAACGGCUGUGACGGCAAGGGCUCUGGGCGGGAGCGAUCGAUCCGUUGGCCUCCAGCGCGUCUGGUUGGCGGCGGUGCUCCCUCUGUCCCAUACGGCUCCAGCGGCUAGCGGCUAACUCAGAACUGUCAUGGACCAAGGGAAUCCGACUGUCUAAUUAAAACAAAGCGUCGUGACGGCCCCUGUUGGGUGUUGACGCGACGUGAUUUCUGCCCAGUGCUCUGAAUGUCAAAGUGAAGAAAUUCACCG